CCAAUAGCGUAUAUUAAAGUUGCUGCAGUUAAAAAGCUCGUAGUUGAAUUUCGGGACUAAUAUGUCGGUCGUGCCUCGGUACGUACUGGUUUAUUGGUUUCUCCUUUCUGAAGAACCAUGAUGUCAUUUAUUUGGUGUCGUGGGGAAUCAGGACUGUUACUUUGAAAAAAUUAGAGUGUUUAAAGCAGGCUUUAGCUUGAAUACAUUAGCAUGGAAUAAUGAAAUAGGACGUUUGAUCCUAUUUUGUUGGUUUCUAGGAUCGACGUAAUGAUUAAUAGGGAUAGUUGGGGGCAUUAGUAUUCAAUUGUCAGAGGUGAAAUUCUUGGAUUUAUUGAAGACUAACUACUGCGAAAGCAUUUGCCAAGGAUGUUUUCAUUAAUCAAGAACGAAAGUUAGGGGAUCGAAGACGAUCAGAUACCGUCGUAGUCUUAACCAUAAACUAUGCCGACUAGGGAUCGGAUGAUGUUAAUUUUUUAAUGACUCAUUCGGCGCCUUACG
RNAcentral lists this ribosomal RNA (498 nucleotides) under uncultured Glomus. Its description in RNAcentral is "SSU rRNA". It matches the Rfam family "Eukaryotic small subunit ribosomal RNA", at positions 591 to 1092 of the family's 1831-position model. The record is from RNAcentral. Lineage: Eukaryota; Fungi; Glomeromycota; Glomeromycetes; Glomerales; Glomeraceae.